This 2651-nucleotide long non-coding RNA is filed under the name Nicotiana tabacum (common tobacco). RNAcentral describes it as "long non-coding RNA (NTAB_LNC012621)". Lineage: Eukaryota; Viridiplantae; Streptophyta; Magnoliopsida; Solanales; Solanaceae. The record is from RNAcentral.
GAGUGCCAAAUUGGGUAUCAACACCGCGUCGCAAAUAUAUUCUGCGAGUGGGGAAAAUUUUCACUACUCUCAUGGAAGCGGGCCGUUCGCCUCGACAAGUUAAUAGAUGCAUCUAUGGUUCGUAUCGUUCGACCCUCAGCAGUGCACAGUUUAUAUUUAUAUGUUGGAUCGGAUCGUACGACCUCGACAUGACUUGCGCAUGAUAAUUCUUUGGAACUAAUAAUAAUUGAUAUUGUUCCAUUGGCUUGAGAUACAAAUUGUUAAAUGAUAAAAAUAAAUUUGGAAAUAUGUAUUAGUAAAAGGAUUGUUUAUUAUUUUUGGCUAUUUAGUUUCCAGUUAUAUUAUGUAAUUCAUGCUUAAUUAUAACAUCGGUAUUUUAUUGUUCGCCCAUAGUAAGUGUCAGAGUCGACCCCACGUCACUACUUCUUCGAGGUUAGACGGGAUACUUACUGGGUACGUGAUUUACGUACUCAUACUACACUUGCUGCACAUUUUUGUAUAGGUACAUAUAUGUCUCGUGGCGUUGUGGGUGCAGAGGCAUGGUUAAUGCUGGGACUUAGGUGAUUGCAUUCCAUGUUACGAUUCGCAGUCAGCAGAGUCUCCUUCAGAGCUAUUUAUAUUUUUCCUGUCUAAUAUGUGUUCCGGACAGAUGUUGUAUUUUAUUUUACUCCUUAGUUGAUGUUCAUGCACUUGUGACACCAGAUUUUGGGGUAAUUAUGGAUUGUUCAGUAUUAUAAUUUUGAAAAUAUUAUCACCUACUCUAUAAAACUUUAUCUCUUAUUAUUUAAUUGAAGGAAAAAAUUUGAUUUCAAAAUACUAAAAUGAGUAAUCAAGUUAAUCAAUUAUCGUUAGCUUGUCCUACAACGGGUUAGGCGCCAUCACGACAUUUAACGGAUUUGAAUCGUGACAGAACUGAUUUCAAUAUCAUAACUAUUAUUUCUAAAGUUGUAAUACAUCCAGAAAACUAUCAAAGAGCUUAUAUUGAAUUACCUCCAAACAGCUUAAGGAGGAAACAUUAUGACCAAAUGAAGGCCAGCCACUCCACAGCUAAAUGCAGAAAAUCAGCAAAUACUCUCAGCAACUUAAGAACAGCAUAAUCAACCACCACUCAAAAUCCCACUAGAAUUGAAACAAAAACCAGUAGAAAAAAAAAGGAAAGAGAAGCAGCUUUGAAUUCUUUCUUUUUGUUAUAUUUUCUGUAUCUAGACUUGAACUUUUCAACUUCUUUAUUUUUUGAAAAAAAAAAAAAUUAGUGUGGGUGAGAAAAGUAGCGUGAGGUUUUUUUGUAGACUUUUGUGUGUGUGAAAGGGAAGUGUGAGGUCUCUUUUAUAGAGUGUAAGAGGAAAAGGGGAGGAUAAAAAGGAAUCUUGUCAGCUAAAAAUUAGGGGAGGGCGUCUAUUUUUUUUAACAGAAAAUAGACAGCUGUCAUAUUUUUUUAGCAGCUGUCCUUUUCUCUAUUUUUUUCAGCACCAUACCCUUUUUUAAAGUAACCUUUUUACCCCAACGUCUAACCUAAUUUCUGGUUUUCAUUACACUUUAACCUCUUUUCUGGAAGCUUCCUAAGUAACUACUCAGAUUCUCUAAUUUUGGUGUACUCUCUAGUCUACUCAAUUCUUGCAAAUUACUUUUCUUUUAACAUUCUAUAUUACCUCCAAACAUGCAGUCUUUUAUCCAAAUUUACGGCUCUUUUUUCCUUAUCACAAUUAAACUAAACAAAGCUAAACUAGCACUAGGAUAACAACACAAAGUAAACCUAAAUUAUCAACUAAUUAACGUAUUAAUUAGGAAAAUAGAUAAUUUAAACAAGCAACACGAUUAUCAAAUGAUUUCAGAUUCAACUAAAACAAAUAACCACUUAGAAAGUCAAAAUAAUUUUAAUUAUAAACCUAAGCAUGCUUGGAUUAACAGAAAUCACCAAUUAACCCAAUCACACACUCACAUGAAAGGCGUGUAUUUGAAAUACUAAUCUAAUCGGACAAUUAAACACACAGAAUGCAAUUGUAGUUCAAGGCAAGACAGUAGUGAUGCUACUUUAUUUUGCUAAAAUGAACUAACUUGAACAAUUACAAUUAACAUAAAAAUUAAUCUGAACUAACGACACAUUAAUGAGAAAAGAGCAGAGGAGAGAAAUACCUAUAGUGUUUGAAUGGGUUGUCAAAAGAAACGGAUUUCCGGCAAGCCGGAGAAAUUGCCACACAAACACUGGCCGGAUUUCUCCAUGCGAGAUAUUGUUCUAUGCAGCAAAUAUCUCCUACUGACCCGAUAAAAUGAAGCAGAACAAGGCGAGGAUGAGUUGUGCGACCCAAUGGAGCUUGACCAAGGUUCUGGUGGUCAUGAGAUCAGUAAAGUUCAUGCAAUCAUCAAGAGAAGUCAACUGGUGUAGGUUUCGAUCUCAAAUGAGCCAGAAUUAGGGACAAAUUAAAAAAGGGAAAACUUUAAGGUUUUUGCGAUUUCUUAGAUUUGAAAUUAAAGGAUUUUGGGGAGGUUUUCUGGGAAAAUUGGUAGGAGAUUUGGGAUUAGGAGGGGAAGGAGAUUGUAUGGUGAUAAAAUUGGGCCAUUUGGUAUGGUGCCGCCGCCAUAGGGUGAUUUUCGGCGGCGGUAUGUCAGGAGAAGGGUAAUAGAUUGAGAGAUGGGGGAAAUGAAGGGGUUCU